This 289-nucleotide ribosomal RNA is filed under the name Porphyridium purpureum. RNAcentral's name for it is "partial 24S ribosomal RNA". It matches the Rfam family "Eukaryotic large subunit ribosomal RNA", at positions 1150 to 1442 of the family's 3401-position model. The record is from RNAcentral. Lineage: Eukaryota; Rhodophyta; Bangiophyceae; Porphyridiales; Porphyridiaceae.
CUGGCGAUGAGGGAUGAACCUAAUGUGGGGCUGAGGUGCUUAAUUACUUGCUCAUUUGAUACCAGACAGGGUGUUGGUUCAUUUUAACAGCAAGGCGGUGGUCAUGGAAGACGAAAUCCGCUAAGGAGUGUGUAACAACUCACCUGCCGAAUGGACUAGCCCCGAAAAUGGAUGGCGCUCAAGCGGGUGACUGAUACCCAACCAUUGUUGUAAACAACAUCAAUGUGUAGGAGGGCAUGGUGGCUUGUGACACAGCCUUUGGUGAACACCUAGGUCCAACAGCUUCAAG